RNAcentral lists this ribosomal RNA (394 nucleotides) under uncultured bacterium. RNAcentral's name for it is "partial 16S ribosomal RNA". It matches the Rfam family "Bacterial small subunit ribosomal RNA", at positions 523 to 918 of the family's 1533-position model. The record is from RNAcentral.
AUACGUAGGGGGCUAGCGUUAUCCGGAAUUACUGGGCGUAAAGGGUGCGUAGGUGGUUUCUUAAGUCAGAAGUGAAAGGCUACGGCUCAACCGUAGUAAGCUUUUGAAACUAAGAGACUUGAGUGCAGGAGAGGCGAGUAGAAUUCCUAGUGUAGCGGUGAAAUGCGUAGAUAUUAGGAGGAAUACCAGUUGCGAAGGCGGCUCUCUGGACUGUAACUGACACUGAGGCACGAAAGCGUGGGGAGCAAACAGGAUUAGAUACCCUGGUAGUCCACGCCGUAAACGAUGAGUACUAGCUGUCGGGGGUUACCCCCCUCGGUGGCGCAGCUAACGCAUUAAGUACUCCGCCUGGGAAGUACGCUCGCAAGAGUGAAACUCAAAGGAAUUGGCGGGG